UACGUAGGCAGCAAGCGUUGUUCGGAGUUACUGGGCGUAAAGGGUGCGUAGGCGGCCCUAUAAGUAUGGUGUGAAAUCUCUUGGCUUAACCGGGAGGGUGCGCUAUAGACUGUGGGGCUCGAGCGUGGGAGAGGAAAGUGGAAUUCCUGGUGUAGCGGUGAAAUGCGUAGAUAUCAGGAGGAACACCGGUGGUGUAAACGGCUUUCUGGACCAUAACUGACGCUGAGGCACGAAAGCGUGGGUAGCAAACGGG
Molecule: ribosomal RNA, 253 nt
Filed under: uncultured bacterium
Lineage: Bacteria
Description: partial 16S ribosomal RNA
Rfam family: Bacterial small subunit ribosomal RNA
Source: RNAcentral